Carassius carassius (crucian carp) is the source of this 762-nucleotide long non-coding RNA. RefSeq lists it as uncharacterized. NCBI's taxonomy places the organism in Eukaryota, Metazoa, Chordata, Actinopteri, Cypriniformes, Cyprinidae. The transcript has 3 exons. The record is from RefSeq and is a predicted model, not a curated record.
GGUCAAGCGAAACACCUCUGAAGACCUGGAUUAUUGCAAAGGAGGCUGGAGAAGUCAUUGCAGCUCAUUGCAAUUGCAUGGCAGGACUAUCAGAAUCGUGUUCUCAUGUAGGGGCAGUUCUUUUUUCCAUUGAAGUUGGGGUAAAGAUGCGAGAUUCAGCUUCCUGCACAACAGAGCAGUGCAAGUGGCUGAUGCCAUCACAUGUAAAAAAGAUUCCUGCUGCUCCAGUAGCUCUGAUUGACUUCUCCUCAGCAAAAGCAAAAAAAAAUAAAGCUUGACCGUUCCAUUGAUGGCAGGACAACUGACAACAAGGUUGGGAAAUCACUUCCAUGCCCAAGAGUGAAGAGAGGGUCAGAAACAUAUGCUAGGUUUUUUGAGACAUUAAGCAAAAACUGUCCAAGGAGUGCAGCACUGAUGGCUAGGGAGCCUUACCACAAAGAAUUCAUCCCCAAAUCUUGCAUGCUUCCUAAAACUGUUCUUGAAUACAGAACACCAGAGACUCUGCAGCUACCCCCCAAAGAGCUUGGAGAGCUAUGCCAGGAUCUCCAGCUAGAAGAGCUCACCCUGUCUCAUGUUCAGGCUGUAGAGAGGGCAACUCGAAGUCAGAGUGCAAGCAGGGUUUGGUUUAGGCAAAGAGCAGGACGUGUAACGGCCUCAAAGCUGAAACAAGUUCUUAAGACCAACCCCCAGCAGCCAUCCAAGAGCUUGAUCAAGGGCAUAUGCUACCCAGAAGCAUAUAGGUUCAUCACAGCCGCUACAAGG